Long non-coding RNA from Arachis duranensis, 438 nucleotides. RefSeq lists it as uncharacterized. The transcript is spliced from 2 exons. Lineage: Eukaryota; Viridiplantae; Streptophyta; Magnoliopsida; Fabales; Fabaceae. The record is from RefSeq and is a predicted model, not a curated record.
UUGCCGUCUAUUUCAAGUUUGUUGGAGCUUGAAGGUGAUAGUGAGGCGAUUGAGGAUUAUUUAGGUGAGAACGCUCCGACGCUGACUACUGCGAAUUUGAAAGCUUUUGUGAAUAAACAAAUGAAAAGUGAGAAAGAGGCGUCUUGGACGAACAUGGAGGGUGCUCAAUCUGUGGUUCACCGAGAUGCAGGGAAGAAGAGGAAAAUUGCUUAGCUUCAAUGACUAAGGUCGUUGAUUUGACUGUUGGAAAGGAUGGUGGUGGUGCUUUCUCGAUGGAGGAGUUCAGUUUAUAUAAUUCAUUCUUUGUUAAUUUAAUGUAGCAAGCAAGCAAGUGCAUCUUGGUACUCUUAAAUGACUAAUACUUUUAGUUGUAUUAUAGUAGUGAAUAGUAGGGAUGAUAAUAAUAUACUCACCCAUGUGCAAUGGGAUUUCUAUAAA